Molecule: long non-coding RNA, 420 nt
Organism: Centruroides sculpturatus (bark scorpion)
Lineage: Eukaryota; Metazoa; Arthropoda; Arachnida; Scorpiones; Buthidae
Exons: 3
Source: RefSeq, a predicted model, not a curated record
GCUAAUUUCUUUUGAACAGGCAAAAUUAUAAUACAAAAUAGCUUUUCAUUAUCAUUUUAAAUAAUUUUUAUUUAAUUUAAAUUGUUCUAUUAAAUUUUAUUAUUUAUUUUUGUUUAACAGACAAGAAUAAAAAGAAAAUUUCCGGUUUUGGAAAGAAGUGUUACAACAUUCAUUGCGAAGAAGAAGCUAGAUAUAAAUGUCAAGAUUGCGGACGUGUUUCUUAUUGCAGCAUUAGGUGCAUGCGAAACGAUCAACCAGUCCAUAAAAAACAUUGCACAAAACCACCUUGGCGUAUAUGAUAAUGGGAAUUGUGUUUUGAAUAAUAAUUUAACAAGGAAAACAUACGAGAAGAGGAUAAAUUAUAGUUUUCACAAGGUGAAAAGUGUAUUUUCCUUAUGCAGCUUCAAGAGCCGCUAUCCA